AAGGUGUUAGCUCAAUUGGAAGAGCUCUUGCCCUGCAAGCAAGUGGUUGCGGGUUCGAGUCCCUGCACACCUUU
This 74-nucleotide transfer RNA is filed under the name Flavobacterium sp. KMS. RNAcentral's name for it is "tRNA-Ala". It matches the Rfam family "tRNA". From Rfam's summary of the family: Transfer RNA (tRNA) molecules are approximately 80 nucleotides in length. Their secondary structure includes four short double-helical elements and three loops (D, anti-codon, and T loops). The record is from RNAcentral. RNAcentral also lists the same sequence under 1 other name. Lineage: Bacteria; Pseudomonadati; Bacteroidota; Flavobacteriia; Flavobacteriales; Flavobacteriaceae.